UUCACGUCAAGAGUUUUUUAAAAUAAUAUUUUCUUUUUUUAUCUCGAUAGUAUUUAAUAAUUGAAACAAAUAUAUUAAAAAAUGCGUAUAAUUGAUUCACACUGAAUGAAUCAUUAAAAAAUGUUUUAUCACAAAAAAAAGAAUAAAUAAAUGUUGAAAAAUAUACCUGAUCCAGAAAAAGGAAAAUUAUGCUGCCAUAUCAACAAAAGUAAAAAUAAAAAUGGCGUUGCCAAUUUCUGGGAUCAACCUCUCGAGGAGGAAUUUCUGCUUCUAAAAAUCAAAUAAAGAAAAAUUAACGAAAGAAAUGAAAGUUUGAGAAGACAGAAUCCAAAAGCAUCACAAAAAAAGGAAUAAUAUCGCAAGAGAUGGAGAUUGAAAGCUGGAGGCGAUGACCACACACAGCGCGACGUAAAUCCAUAUCGAACUCAAACGGUGUGCGGCGAGUAAAGACAUUUGUUUCCGCAGUCACGAGAAACGGAUACCGCAUGAGCAUCAGACUUACUGUCAAGAAGGUAACGUAAGCUCAUCUCGGGGAAACGAAGCGAAAAAGGAAAGAGGAUAUACACAUAAAGCGUUUGGUUUCCGUGAUUCGGGUGAACGCAACGAGACCCGUGGUGGUCGAAAUGGGACGGAUCUAAAAGCGGCAAGGGAAAUUGAGCGAAAUGCCGUACACUUGCUUCACUUCCCACGGGUAAUCUGCUGAACAUAAAAAAAACAAAACAUUGAUUAUUUUUUUUGCAAUACGAAACAUUUCACAAAAAUUUUUUAUUAUUAUUUUAUAUAUAU
Leptopilina boulardi is the source of this 786-nucleotide long non-coding RNA. RefSeq lists it as uncharacterized. The record is from RefSeq and is a predicted model, not a curated record. The transcript has 8 exons. Lineage: Eukaryota; Metazoa; Arthropoda; Insecta; Hymenoptera; Figitidae.